This 586-nucleotide long non-coding RNA is filed under the name Medicago truncatula (barrel medic). Its description in RNAcentral is "long non-coding RNA (MTRU_LNC007715)". Lineage: Eukaryota; Viridiplantae; Streptophyta; Magnoliopsida; Fabales; Fabaceae. The record is from RNAcentral.
CGACAGAGUUUAGCAUAAGACCCAAUGCACCCGCGCGCACACCUUUAUCAUACGCAUGACCUUCCCCAACCGUUCCUCCAUAAACCUCUUUCCCCAUCCAAUCAGUAUCGAAUAGUAAGAAAGGAAACCACGCAAUCCAGUUGAGACACGUCACCAAUAGUAAGAUCCACAUGGGACGCUUUAGUUCGCGAAAAGCACCGGAUAAUUCCCCGAAACAUGGGUUACUACUCUUUGUAACGUUACCGUCUUCGUCGGUUACACCGUUACCGGUGACUUUUUCCGGCGAGAGUGGUAUUUCUUUCACGUAGAUCAGUGCGGCGGUUGCUACGGCGGUUAAAAGUGCGAUUGAGAGGAAGAAACAGCUUUUCAAAUUUGCACAGUAGAUAUCACAUGCUUUUGUUUUGGUGAACGGAAACACGUGAAAGAGUUUGCUGUAAGCACCGGCGGCGUAACCGAGGAUGUUACCGACGGCCAUAAAAAACGAGAAAAACGCGUUUGCGUUUCUUGUUUUUUGGUGGUUACCGGCGCAGAGGUCACCAAGAAGUGCACGGCAAGGACCUUGAAGCAUGUUGUUAGCGACGUCGAG